RNAcentral lists this long non-coding RNA (439 nucleotides) under Coffea arabica (coffee). RNAcentral's name for it is "long non-coding RNA (CARA_LNC002876)". The record is from RNAcentral. Lineage: Eukaryota; Viridiplantae; Streptophyta; Magnoliopsida; Gentianales; Rubiaceae.
CCAUCAUUUGCAUUAAUCGACCUCUAUAAGGUUUUCCUUUAUUGGCCGUCACAAUUCAUGUGGUUGGGACCAAAAACCUUACAAGAGACAUUUUAGAAUUUAGGUUUGCAUUUUUUCCUUCUUUUUGCAUUCAUGUAGUGCAUCCAAAUGUAAUAAAUUCUUUGGUUAAAACAAGAAAAUCUUUGAUUAAAUCAUGCAACUAGCCUUGGCUAGGUCAAAGGGGUGCCUUGGAUUUUAUCCUUGCCUUCCCCUUUGUCAAAUGUGACUCCCGAACCUUUUUCAUUGGUUUACGUAGAUUAGGAGUCGUUUAAAAAGGGUUUCUCACUACUUUUUCCUAUUUUUCUUUAAAAAUACAUUUUUUAGGUGACUUGGUACACCUUAACUCAUUACCAAGUGGCGACUCCGUAUUUAGUUUUAAAAACCCUUUUUAAACUAUAAU